GGAAGUAUAUAUCCAAUGCUACAGAUCAAGCAGGUCUGGGAUGACCAUGAGACAUUACAGAUCCAAUGUCACAGAUCAAGCAGGUCUGGGAUGACCAUGAGACAUUAACUUAGUUUUAGUAACAUGUCCUUCUUGAAAAGGAAUGUCUCCGGUCACCACAACCAAGUUCUCACAUCAUUUCUAGCUCAAAUGCUGAUAAAACUAAUAGGAAAAAUAGUGCACAAAGGAGAGGAAAAAAUCAUAAGCAAAGUCUAUUGUUGCUUCACCAUCCGUUUUUAGCGAAAAUAUCAAAGCAACGACUUGCUUUGCUCGCCAAGCGGACUGUCUCCUUUAUAUCAG
This 339-nucleotide long non-coding RNA is filed under the name Setaria viridis. RNAcentral's name for it is "long non-coding RNA (SVIR_LNC005223)". Lineage: Eukaryota; Viridiplantae; Streptophyta; Magnoliopsida; Poales; Poaceae. The record is from RNAcentral.